UACGUAGGGUCCAAGCGUUAUCCGGAAUCACUGGGCGUAAAGCGUGUGUAGGCGGGAGUUUAAGUGAGAUGCGAAAUCCGGUGGCUCAACCAUCUGGACUGUGUCUUAUACUGAACACCUAGAGGACGGCAGAGGCAAGUGGAAUUACUAGUGUAGCAGUGAAAUGCGUAGAUAUUAGUAGGAACACCAAUGGCGAAGGCAGCUUGCUGGGCCAUAUCUGACGCUGAGACACGAAAGCGUGGGGAGCGAACAGG
RNAcentral lists this ribosomal RNA (254 nucleotides) under uncultured bacterium. Its description in RNAcentral is "partial 16S ribosomal RNA". It matches the Rfam family "Bacterial small subunit ribosomal RNA", at positions 524 to 776 of the family's 1533-position model. The record is from RNAcentral.